AAGCUGAUCGGAGCAAAUUCCCAUUGUUGCCUACAAAGGCUCCUCCGAGUGUUUCGACACUACCCUAUGUUACCCGGAGGCUGACUUUGUCCCGGAGUGUCAAGGUGCCUUCACUGUACUUCGACUGACUGCUUCCAUUUAUGAAAGAACCCUAGACUGCUACUGAUACAUGAAGACCCCUGUUUGCUGGCUUCAUCUCAAGAACUUUGCUGCAAAAAUGGCUGCUGU
Long non-coding RNA from Cydia splendana, 228 nucleotides. RefSeq lists it as uncharacterized. The transcript is spliced from 3 exons. NCBI's taxonomy places the organism in Eukaryota, Metazoa, Arthropoda, Insecta, Lepidoptera, Tortricidae. The record is from RefSeq and is a predicted model, not a curated record.